RNAcentral lists this long non-coding RNA (1145 nucleotides) under Carassius auratus (goldfish). Its description in RNAcentral is "lncRNA (ENSCARG00000021650.1)". Lineage: Eukaryota; Metazoa; Chordata; Actinopteri; Cypriniformes; Cyprinidae. The record is from RNAcentral.
AAUGCCCUAAACCUUUAAAACCAGAUUAAAAACAUAAUUUGCUGAACAACCAAUCGGGAAAAAUGCUUUCUGCCUCUCAAUAAGAUUUUGUCAUUGUUUGGCAAGCAGUAUAUUGUAUUGACAGUAUUAUUAUAUUUUGCUACCUUUAUGUUUUACAAACCCUGAGGAAACUCUUUAGUCAAUCACUUACAGUAGCUUCAGGCUUGGAAUGUAAUUAAUUUGUAUUGAAGAAUUUGUAAUUGUAACUAUAAUUUGUAUCUGACUGUAUUGAAAGACAUUUAUGGAUGACUUUGCAUAUUACUUUUGGCAGAUGCUUUUAUCCAAAGCGACUUACAGUGCAUUCAGGCUAUGCAUUUUUUUUGUGUGUGUAUUUCCUGGGACUCGAACCAACAAACUUUUGCACUGCUAACGCAGUGCUCUACCACUUUUUAAAAAUGUUAAUAUUGAUCUAAUUUCAAAUACAUGGGCUGUCUUCAAUUGUUUGUUUGUUUUUGUUUUGCAGACCAUCUAUUCAGAGCAUGACCUGCAUUUUUUUCUCUGCAGCUGAACGCCUGGUUUUGGGUUUUCUCCAUGCAGCAGUUCUUCUGUAUUGUUCUUCCCACCCUCUCCCCAACCCACCAAAUAAUAAUAAUAAUAAUAAUAACUUAAUUCAUUUGAAUACUAAGUUGAUCAUUUGUGUUAAAAUACUACUGUUCUUUUAAAAGUUCAGUCAUUUUAAUACUAGGUUAAUAAUUUGUUUAAUCUGCUAUUGUUCAUUUCUUUGGAAAAAAGAGUUUGUUCCUUUUAAUACUAUAUUCUUAAUUUGUUUUACCUUCUACUGUUCUUUUUAUAAAAAAAAAAAUAAAAAAGUUCAUUAGCUGUAUUUGUAAGUCGUUCUUUUUCUUGUCAGUUAACUAAUCUUUUUUCCUGAGAAUACUUUGCAGGUUGUAUCACAUCAGCAUUUCGUGAAGUAAGUGACUGAAAAUAUCCUGUAAAAAAAGCUUAUUGAAUACAGUACUAUUUGACUGUAGCAUUAAAACCAUUUUACAGCCAUUUUUAAUCCGAGAUCUGUUCAAACACAAUGAAGAAAAUGUGACAGUUGCUUGCUAAACAUUUUAAGACAGUUUGCUUAUUCAACAGACAAUGUGAAAUCAUCUGCUCAUUAU